GUAACACGUAUGUAACCUACCCUUAUCAGGGGGAUAGCCUCUCGAAAGAGAGAUUAAGCCCGCAUAAAAUUGUACCAUAGCAUUAUGGAACAAUCAAAUAUUUAUAGGAUGAGGAUGGGCAUGCGGAACAUUAGCUAGUUGGUAAGGUAACGGCUUACCAAGGCGACGAUGUUUAGGGGAUCUGAGAGGAUGACCCCCAACUGGUACUGAGACACGGACCAGACUCCUACGGGAGGCAGCAGUAAGGAAUAUUGGUCAAUGGGCGGAAGCCUGAACCAGCCAUGCCGCGUGCAGGAAGACGGCCCUACGGGUUGUCAAACUGCUUUUGUGCCAGAAUAAACCCUCAUUCGAGAAUGAGGUUGAAUGUAUGGUAAGAAUAAGGAUCGGCUAAUUCCGUGCAGAGCGGGUAAUACGGAGGAUCCGAGCGUAUCCGGAUUAUAGGGUUAAAAAGGGUGCGUAGGCGGCUUUGUAAGUCAAGG
This 479-nucleotide ribosomal RNA is filed under the name uncultured bacterium. Its description in RNAcentral is "bacterial SSU rRNA". It matches the Rfam family "Bacterial small subunit ribosomal RNA", at positions 110 to 593 of the family's 1533-position model. The record is from RNAcentral.